This 356-nucleotide unclassified non-coding RNA is filed under the name uncultured fungus. RNAcentral's name for it is "partial contains internal transcribed spacer 2 and large subunit ribosomal RNA". The record is from RNAcentral. Lineage: Eukaryota; Fungi.
AACGCAACUUGCACUCUAGGUUCUCCUAGAGUAUGCCUAUUUGAGUAUCGGUACCCCCACUCACAACCCCGCCGCCCCUCCUCGUGGUGGUGGUGGUGGCUUGCUGGAUCUCAUGAGUCGUGCGUGUAUUAUUGUGUGUGUAUUCCCACACACACACGCUGACUUGAAGUGUACACUGAAUCGGGCCUAUGUAUACUGUACAUGCGGCACUGACGUGAUAGUCUCACAUGUUUGGGAACACACAACUCGUCAGGCACACACACAAUGCCGCGUGUCGGUCAUAGUGACCUAGUCACGCACACAAACACAUACCAAAUCUCGAUCUCAAAUUAGGUAGGACUACCCGCUGAAUUUAA